RNAcentral lists this RNase P RNA (172 nucleotides) under bacterium. RNAcentral describes it as "partial RNase P RNA component class A". It matches the Rfam family "Bacterial RNase P class A", at positions 181 to 367 of the family's 367-position model. From Rfam's summary of the family: Ribonuclease P (RNase P) is a ubiquitous endoribonuclease, found in archaea, bacteria and eukarya as well as chloroplasts and mitochondria. Its best characterised activity is the generation of mature 5'-ends of tRNAs by cleaving the 5'-leader elements of precursor-tRNAs. The record is from RNAcentral.
CCUGGUUGGUAACAAACAGGGCAUAUGUAAACCCCACUCGAAGCAAGACCGAAUUAUAAGCGAUACGGCUGCCCGUCGUGCUUAUGGGUAGGUCGCUAGAGCCUAGUGGCGACGCUAGGCCAAGAUAGAUGAUCAUUUAAUACAGAACUCGGCUUAUAGUGUUACUCAACCU